Molecule: unclassified non-coding RNA, 785 nt
Filed under: Hevea brasiliensis (rubber tree)
Lineage: Eukaryota; Viridiplantae; Streptophyta; Magnoliopsida; Malpighiales; Euphorbiaceae
Source: RNAcentral
GGAAAAGAAGUAAAAACAUAAACAUAAAUAGCCACACAUGCACACUCAUAUAUCACAAGGGGAAAGGAUUUCACAACUCAAAAUUUAUCUAUCCUACUUGCUUUGAUGUUGAUAUAGGACAGGUCAGGGUCUUAACAUAAAAGGGUGUCUCAGACUCUCAGUGCACAAGCCUUCCUGCAUUGCAGCCUUAGGGCGGUCUGGUGGACAUAACCUUCCCCUUACAUUACAAGGAGGGUUCUGUAUUUUGAACCAAUGAUCUCCUGUCAAUGCGGAGCAACAUUACUAUUUUACACCAAGGCUCAUCCUCUGUCAAGGGUUUAACCUAUUCCAAAAACUAGUUCAAGUUUGAUCCAUGUCAGGAUUCAAAACAGUAUGAAAAUUCAGAUUUCGAAACCUAUUCAAUAUCAAAAAUGCUUUGCCUAGUUGGUGCACCUAAAACAAACAUAAGGUGGGAGUGAGGGUUUCAAUAAUAGGACCUUGCAUCUCAAAUAACAAAGACAAACCCUAUUUAAUAGGGUCAGAACCUGGUCGUGAAGAACCAAAACCAGGAAGAGAGUAAACAAAUAUAAAAAAAAGUACCAUUAUUAUAAUUACAUUGAAACAUCAACCAGAAGAAAAUAGCAGCAGUAAAUUAACAAAAUUUCUGAUACAUCAAGUAAAAAAUACCGAGAAAGAAAUCCUUCAUCAAUUGACAGGUGCACUUCAGAAUUCCCAAAUGACUAUAUGAAGACUAGAAAGUAACUCUAGAAGGUAAUUAUCACAAUUAUGAUAAAGAUGAAAUUAAU